AUAACAAUACAGAACUCUUUAGAUGCCCUGUAAUUGUAAUGAGUCCACUUGAAAUCCUUUAACUCUGAUCAAUUGGAGGGCAAGUCUGGUGCGUGCUGCAGCUGAAACUCCACUAUCG
This is a non-coding RNA of Pelobates cultripes (western spadefoot toad), 118 nucleotides long. The record is from the annotation of a GenBank genome assembly. Lineage: Eukaryota; Metazoa; Chordata; Amphibia; Anura; Pelobatidae.